AGAAAGGUUUUUUUCAAAACCAUUAAAGGGCUAUAAGCGAUCAACU
Non-coding RNA from Haliaeetus albicilla (white-tailed eagle), 46 nucleotides. The record is from Rfam. Lineage: Eukaryota; Metazoa; Chordata; Aves; Accipitriformes; Accipitridae.